AAAGGGGUUGCAGUGGAGUUCUGGGGAACUGCAGGUCUCUAAGCCUGAUGCUUAUUUCAUGUAACAUAGUAGAAAUAACAGAAUAUAUGAUUAGUAGAUGCUGGGAGAAACGCCAGUUGCCUAGUCAAUGUUGGUGCUAUUAAAAGGAAGACGUGCCUUAGAAUACUCUUGGUGCUCAAUGAAGGGUUGAGAAGACAUGGAAAUUACAGUGAUCUGGUUGAUAUAUUUUACCUGAAUUUCCAAAAGCCUUUGCAAGGAAAUGUUAUAAAAGAGGAAAGGAAAGGAAAGGAAAGGAAAGGAAAGGAAAGGAAAGGAAAGGAAAGGAAAGGAAAGACUAAAAAGGAAGGUGCUGGUAUGGAUAUAUUACUGUUUAAAAGGUACCGUCCUGCUUUUCUGUGUGUCUACCAUUGCUCCAGGGAGAGGAUUCAGGAAACAGAUGGGGAAAGUGACAUGCAAAAGAAGUUAUUUUUAGAAGGACGAAUAAGGAAAAGAGUAGAAUCAGAGUCAUGAGCAGAGUGAAGAACAGAAUCGUAAGAGUCUCUUUCAGUUAAGGCUGGAAGAGAUCUGUGGAGGUGUCUUUGUGCCAUAUCUAAUCAGGUUUUAAGUAUCUCAAAGGAUGGAGACUCCACAAGCUGUCUGGUCAAACUUCUCCAGUGUUUUACCACCUAAAAAGUAAAAAGAUUUUUUUUGUAUGUUUAAGUAGAAUUUUCUGGGCUCACUACCUCUUUGUCCUGUCCCUGGAUACCACUGAGAAGAGUUUGGGCCCAUCUUGUUUACAUUAGCUAUUUGUACACAUUGAUAAUCAGAUCUCCCCUGAGCCUUUCCUUCUUGAAGCUAAACAAUCCCAGCUACCUCACCAUCUCCUCACAUGUCGGAUGCUCCACUUGCUUAAUCAUCUUAGUGGCCUGUAGUGGCAUGUUCACUAGGCUUGCUCCAGUAUACCCAUCACCCUUAUACUGGGGAACCCAGAUCUGAAUGAAUAAUGAAGUCACGGUUCUCCUCAACAAUCUUCAUCCUUCAAGGCACACUUAAUCUUAUCCACAUCCUGCUUUUUGACAAGCCUCUCAGAAAGGAAGUUACCCUGGGAACAGCAGAUUGUAGUGCAGAGAUAAAAACAAAAUGCCAUUUUUACAAUCCAAAAUUGAAGUGAAAGGAAAUAAAAAGUAAUGUUUAGGUCUAGCUUCA
This 1185-nucleotide long non-coding RNA is filed under the name Anser brachyrhynchus (Pink-footed goose). RNAcentral's name for it is "lncRNA (ENSABRG00000019275.1)". Lineage: Eukaryota; Metazoa; Chordata; Aves; Anseriformes; Anatidae. The record is from RNAcentral.